UACCUUCUCAUUUGCAUUGGCACCUAUCC
Molecule: non-coding RNA, 29 nt
Filed under: Rattus norvegicus (Norway rat)
Lineage: Eukaryota; Metazoa; Chordata; Mammalia; Rodentia; Muridae
Source: RNAcentral